RNAcentral lists this ribosomal RNA (465 nucleotides) under uncultured bacterium. RNAcentral's name for it is "partial 16S ribosomal RNA". It matches the Rfam family "Bacterial small subunit ribosomal RNA", at positions 338 to 795 of the family's 1533-position model. The record is from RNAcentral.
CCUACGGGAGGCAGCAGUGGGGAAUAUUGCGCAAUGGGCGAAAGCCUGACGCAGCGACGCCGCGUGAGGGAUGAAGGUCUUCGGAUCGUAAACCUCUGUCAGCAGGGAAGAACGGUCACUGUGCUAAUCAGCAGUGAAUUGACGGUACCUGCAAAGGAAGCACCGGCUAACUCCGUGCCAGCAGCCGCGGUAAUACGGAGGGUGCGAGCGUUAAUCGGAAUUACUGGGAGGAAAGCGCUCGUAGGCGGUAUGUUAAGUCAAGGGGGAAAUCCCCGCGCUCAACGUGGGAACUGCCUUUGAAACUGGCAAACUGGAGUGUGUGAGAGGAUAGUGGAAUUCCAGGUGUAGGAGUGAAAUCCGUAGAUAUCUGGAGGAACAUCAGUGGCGAAGGCGACUAUCUGGCACAUAACUGACGCUGAGGAGCGAAAGCGUGGGUAGCAAACAGGAUUAGAUACCCGGGUAGUC